This is a long non-coding RNA of Magallana angulata, 1032 nucleotides long. RefSeq lists it as uncharacterized. The transcript has 3 exons. The record is from RefSeq and is a predicted model, not a curated record. Lineage: Eukaryota; Metazoa; Mollusca; Bivalvia; Ostreida; Ostreidae.
AUUAAAGCUGCUUGGUCCGAUUUAUUUGUUAUUACAGUAUCACAAUUUUUUCCAUACAAACCAUUUAUCUUAGAAAGUUAUGGACUUUCUCCUGUUUACACCAGGAGAAUCAGUCUCCUUUCAAAGUUAGAAAUAUUCAAAGUAAAUAAAAUAAUUUCUUGUUGGGCAAACGAAAAAACAAACCAAAAUGCAUCAAGGGAAUGUUUAGAAAAAGAAACCGUUUGGUUUCGCCCCCCGAAUGAUUGGGAUCAUUCAACACGCAUACUAUGCAUCGAUUGUAAAGAAAACAAACUUCAGAAAUAUAAGGGAACAAAACGUACGCAUGUUUAUUUCUAAUUUGUCUGAUCGUUUCGACCUUUAUUUAAAGCGAUGACAAAGUCGUAAUACAACCAUACCCGUCUCGUCGUCAGGGGUGAAAUUUAACAUGAGGCGAAAUAACGCGGUACCCUUUUAUGUCGUUUGUUUUGUUAGCAAAUUUUGUACGUAAUUUUCUUCAUUGAAAUUUGGCUUAAUUGACUGGGAAAACUACUGCAAUGUCUAUUAUUAUACAUAUACUUAGCAUACCCAUCGUUUAAAAGCGUGCAUAAAAUUUUAUAUAAAAUCGGACCAAGCAGCUUUAAUCUAGAGAGUGAGGAUUAAGCGUUAUACAUGUAAGCGAGCUUUCAACUUCAUUCAACUUUAUUCUUAAAAGAAGCACUGUUAUUCCUAAUUCAGGAGACGCUGAUAAACCUCCAUUACCAUCGGUUUGAAUUCUAUAUCGAGAUGAAGCUGGAGACCACUCUGUCCCAUUCUUCAUUCUGGGAGUCCAACAUUACAAGGACGAGGUCAAAUCUACUGAGGAGAGGGCUGGCCAGGGCGAUGUUCACACUUAGACUCUGUCACAGAACACAAAAAAGAACUGAUACACUCUGAGCAAUAGGGUUGACUACUGAGUGCUUCCAGUCUUACCUGUACCCCUCCGGCUAGUACCAGAGCCACAGCCAGUUUGACCACAUACAGACCAUACACCUGGGGACAUAGACUGGCCAGUAU